This 392-nucleotide transfer-messenger RNA is filed under the name Pseudomonadales. Its description in RNAcentral is "Oceanicoccus sp000169075 Standard tmRNA". It matches the Rfam family "transfer-messenger RNA". From Rfam's summary of the family: Bacterial tmRNA, also known as 10Sa RNA or SsrA, is named for its dual tRNA and mRNA-like properties. Its role is to liberate the mRNA from a stalled ribosome. RNAcentral also lists the same sequence under 1 other name. The record is from RNAcentral. Lineage: Bacteria; Pseudomonadati; Pseudomonadota; Gammaproteobacteria.
GGGGCCGAUUUGGAUUCGACGCCGGUUACAAAACUUACGUGUGCAUGUCGUGAUGGUAGCCAAUCACGUUAAUCCAAAGCUGCAAACUAUUAGUUGCCAAUGAUGACAACUACGGUGCACAACUAGCUGCGUAAGUAGCUCUUUGUAAACCUUCUAGUGGUUCGCCGCUAGCGGUCUUUGACAAGGUGCCAGUACCGCGUUAACGUCCGUCAUAUAGAACUGGAUCGCUGUGAAGCCGCGCCUGAGGCCGAUCUGCUAAACCUUAAUCAGGAUCGCCAACUACGUCCUGCCCGUCGGGCUGUAAGCGGUUAAAUUAAUUGACGGAAUCUAAGCAUGUAGAGCACUAAGCAGCGGACUGACGGACGCGGGUUCAAUUCCCGCCGGCUCCACCA